UGGCUUUGCGCCUUCCAUUUAACAACAGUGUCCCUUUGGGCAAGUCAUAGGCCUCUGCUUCAGUAUCAUUCUUUUAGCUCGCAGUGGUGUCUUGUGUUCAGUAUAGAGGAAAGUUUCCAGCCCCAAUGGUUCACUGAUAGAGAAGCAGAGCAACAGCUCUUAACCUCUGAGAGAUUUUG
Molecule: long non-coding RNA, 179 nt
Filed under: Chinchilla lanigera (long-tailed chinchilla)
Lineage: Eukaryota; Metazoa; Chordata; Mammalia; Rodentia; Chinchillidae
Description: lncRNA (ENSCLAG00000022273.1)
Source: RNAcentral